AGUGAACGCUGGCGGUAGGCCUAACACAUGCAAGUCGAACGGCAGCACAGUAAGAGCCUGCUCUUACGGGUGGCGAGUGGCGGACGGGUGAGGAAUACAUCGGAAUCUACUUUUUCGUGGGGGAUAACGUAGGGAAACUUACGCUAAUACCGCAUACGACCUACGGGUGAAAGCAGGGGAUCUUCGGACCUUGCGCGAUUGAAUGAGCCGAUGUCGGAUUAGCUAGUUGGCGUGGUAAAGGCCCACCAAGGCGACGAUCCGUAGCUGGUCUGAGAGGAUGAUAAGCCACACUGGAACUGAGACACGGUCCAGACUCCUACGGGAGGCAGCAGUGGGGAAUAUUGGACAAUGGGCGCAAGCAUGAUACAGCAAUACCGCGUGGGUGAAGAAGGACUUCGGGUUGUAAAGCCCUUUUGUUGGGAAGGAAAAGCAGCAGGUUAAUACCCCGCUGUUCUGACGGUACCAAAAGAAUAAGCACCGGCUAACUUCGUG
Molecule: ribosomal RNA, 492 nt
Filed under: uncultured bacterium
Lineage: Bacteria
Description: partial 16S ribosomal RNA
Rfam family: Bacterial small subunit ribosomal RNA
Source: RNAcentral